RNAcentral lists this ribosomal RNA (446 nucleotides) under Salmonella enterica subsp. enterica serovar Enteritidis. RNAcentral describes it as "partial 23S ribosomal RNA". It matches the Rfam family "Bacterial large subunit ribosomal RNA", at positions 134 to 621 of the family's 2925-position model. The record is from RNAcentral. Lineage: Bacteria; Pseudomonadati; Pseudomonadota; Gammaproteobacteria; Enterobacterales; Enterobacteriaceae.
UGAUUCGUCACACUAUCAUUAACUGAAUCCAUAGGUUAAUGAGGCGAACCGGGGGAACUGAAACAUCUAAGUACCCCGAGGAAAAGAAAUCAACCGAGAUUCCCCCAGUAGCGGCGAGCGAACGGGGAGGAGCCCAGAGCCUGAAUCAGCAUGUGUGUUAGUGGAAGCGUCUGGAAAGGCGCGCGAUACAGGGUGACAGCCCCGUACACAAAAGCGCAUGUGCUGUGAGCUCGAUGAGUAGGGCGGGACACGUGGUAUCCUGUCUGAAUAUGGGGGGACCAUCCUCCAAGGCUAAAUACUCCUGACUGACCGAUAGUGAACCAGUACCGUGAGGGAAAGGCGAAAAGAACCCCGGCGAGGGGAGUGAAAAAGAACCUGAAACCGUGUACGUACAAGCAGUGGGAGCACCCUUUGGGUGUGACUGCGUACCUUUUGUAUAAUGGGUC